RNAcentral lists this long non-coding RNA (215 nucleotides) under Marmota monax (woodchuck). Lineage: Eukaryota; Metazoa; Chordata; Mammalia; Rodentia; Sciuridae. The record is from RNAcentral.
CCAUAACAUUCUCACCUGUACUUGCUUUCAGUCUCUCUGAGCUCCUGUGCAUCCUGGUUCCCCUGGAAUUCUGUGCUCAUGGAACAUGGCAAACAUGAGUUGCAAAUGAUAUGGAGAGAGGGCAAUAGUCACAUGUAUCAGGCUCACCUCCUCUAUUCUAUGCAUCUUCCCUUGUCCCAUAGGGCUUCCAUCUGUAAAACAGAGUUUAAAGAUUA